CUACGGGGCGCUGCAGUGGGGAAUAUUGCACAAUGGGCGCAAGCCUGAUGCAGCCAUGCCGCGUGUAUGAAGAAGGCCUUCGGGUUGUAAAGUACUUUCAGCGGGGAGGAAGGGAGUAAGGUUAAUACCUUUGCUCAUUGACGUUACCCGCAGAAGAAGCACCGGCUAACUCCGCGCCAGCAGCCGCGGUAAUACGGAGGGUGCAAGCGUUAAUCGGAAUUACUGGGCGUAAAGCGCACGCAGGCGGUUUGUUAAGUCAGAUGUGAAAUCCCCGGGCUCAACCUGGGAACUGCAUCUGAUACUGGCAAGCUUGAGUCUCGUAGAGGGGGGUAGAAUUCCAGGUGUAGCGGUGAAAUGCGUAGAGAUCUGGAGGAAUACCGGUGGCGAAGGCGGCCCCCUGGACGAAGACUGACGCUCAGGUGCGAAAGCGUGGGGAGCAAACAGGAUUAGAUACCCUUGUAGUC
This 464-nucleotide ribosomal RNA is filed under the name uncultured bacterium. RNAcentral describes it as "partial 16S ribosomal RNA". It matches the Rfam family "Bacterial small subunit ribosomal RNA", at positions 339 to 795 of the family's 1533-position model. The record is from RNAcentral.